GAAAGUGACGGUACCUGCAGAAAAAGCGCCGGCUAACUACGUGCCAGCAGCCGCGGUAAUACGUAGGGCGCAAGCGUUAUCCGGAAUUAUUGGGCGUAAAGAGCUCGUAGGCGGUUUGUCGCGUCUGCUGUGAAAUCCGGAGGCUCAACCUCCGGCCUGCAGUGGGUACGGGCAGACUAGAGUGCGGUAGGGGAGAUUGGAAUUCCUGGUGUAGCGGUGGAAUGCGCAGAUAUCAGGAGGAACACCGAUGGCGAAGGCAGAUCUCUGGGCCGUAACUGACGCUGAGGAGCGAAAGGGUGGGGAGCAAACAGGCUUAGAUACCCUGGUAGUCCACCCCGUAAACGUUGGGAACUAGUUGUGGGGUCCAUUCCACGGAUUCCGUGACGCAGCUAACGCAUUAAGUUCCCCGCCUGGGGAGUACGGCCGCAAGGCUAAAACUCAAAGGAAUUGACGGGGACCCGCACAAGCGGCGGAGCAUGCGGAUUAAUUCGAUGCAACGCGAAGAACCUUACCAAGGCUUGACAUAUACGAGAACGGGCCAGAAAUGGUCAACUCUUUGGACACUCGUAAACAGGUGGUGCAUGGUUGUCGUCAGCUCGUGUCGUGAGAUGUUGGGUUAAGUCCCGCAACGAGCGCAACCCUCGUUCUAUGUUGCCAGCACGUAAUGGUGGGAACUCAUGGGAUACUGCCGGGGUCAACUCGGAGGAAGGUGGGGAUGACGUCAAAUCAUCAUGCCCCUUAUGUCUUGGGCUUCACGCAUGCUACAAUGGCCGGUACAAAGGGCUGCAAUACCGCGAGGUGGAGCGAAUCCCAAAAAGCCGGUCCCAGUUCGGAUUGAGGUCUGCAACUCGACCUCAUGAAGUCGGAGUCGCUAGUAAUCGCAGAUCAGCAACGCUGCGGUGAAUACGUUCCCGGGUCUUGUACACACCGCCCGUCAAGUCAUGAAAGUCGGUAACACCUGAAGCCGGUGGCCUAACCCUUGUGG
This 985-nucleotide ribosomal RNA is filed under the name Microbacterium sp. RNAcentral's name for it is "bacterial SSU rRNA". It matches the Rfam family "Bacterial small subunit ribosomal RNA", at positions 465 to 1446 of the family's 1533-position model. The record is from RNAcentral. Lineage: Bacteria; Bacillati; Actinomycetota; Actinomycetes; Micrococcales; Microbacteriaceae.